Molecule: long non-coding RNA, 120 nt
Organism: Xiphophorus couchianus (Monterrey platyfish)
Lineage: Eukaryota; Metazoa; Chordata; Actinopteri; Cyprinodontiformes; Poeciliidae
Exons: 3
Source: RefSeq, a predicted model, not a curated record
CUUGAUGAAUGAAAAGAAAGGAUGAAUUCAAAUUGAUCAAUAAUUUUGGCUAUGCCACAAGAUAUUCCAGACUCUGAGGAAUGAGAAACAUUCCUAUACAAUGAAGCAUAAGCCCCCUCA